Molecule: ribosomal RNA, 510 nt
Filed under: uncultured bacterium
Lineage: Bacteria
Description: bacterial SSU rRNA
Rfam family: Bacterial small subunit ribosomal RNA
Source: RNAcentral
GAUGAACGUUGGCGGCGUGCCUAAUACAUGCAAGUCGAACGAAGACUGUAGUAAUACUGUCUUAGUGGCGAACGGGUGAGUAACGCGUGGGUGACCUGCCCCGAAGUGUGGGAUAACAGUCCGAAAGGAUUGCUAAUACUGCAUAAUAUCCAAGAGAUUAGAUGCUUUUUGGAUUAAAGGAGUAAUUCGCUUCGGGAGGGGCCCGCGUCCCAUCAGCUAGUUGGUGAGGUAGCGGCUCACCAAGGCGACGAUGCGUAGCUGUGCUGAGAGGCAAAACAGCCACACUGGGACUGAGACACGGCCCAGACUCCUACGGGAGGCAGCAGUUAGGGAAUUUUCGGCAAUGGGGGAAACCCUGACCGAGCAAUGCCGCGUGAAUGAAGAAGGUCUUCGGACUGGUAAAAUUCUGUUAUUUGUGGAAGAAAGGUAGUUGGAGGAAAUGCCAAUUACUUGACGGUACCAAAUGAGAAAGCCCCGGCUAACUAUGUGCCAGCAGCCGACGGUAAAACG